GGGCCAUCUCUCCAGAUCAGGGUUAGGGAUACACCUUUGCCCACACAGGACUGGUGAACUGUGUGCUUCUAAUGCAGCUAAGAGAAAAAGGUGAUUCUUUUUUUUUUCGGGCGCCAGUCUUCAGUGCCCCUUCGAUCCGAAUUCAGUUCCCUGGGAAGCAACACCUGGGCUGUAGUGAACUCUGCAGCAGCAAACAGACUCGCUCAGCGGCGCUCAUCACUAAGGGCCAGUUUAGUUUUCACACUAGUUGAAAUUCGUGGCUGCAGCUGGGUUUGGGUGAGAGGGGAGAGUAGGUUGGAGCUCCACUACACCCCACUUCUUUGGAUCCCUGGCCACGGUUCACUUCUUCUAGCCAACAGGAUCGCAACCUCCUAACUUUGAAACGCCACACAACCUUACCUUAAACACACAAGAUCAGUCGCUUCGCAAUUUUUCUUUCUGCCUCUUUUUCCAUCUCUGUUCUGUAUCACUGCAACACAGGUGUUGAAGAUUGGAUUAUUGCAGGAGGGGAAAAAAUAAUAACAGUUGUAAUCGCAGCAUCACUGCAGUUCUUCCUCGGAGCCAGCCUUUUGUUAUGGAUGCUCACUGUAGUGGGAGAAGGCUCUGUCUCUACCAGUCCAUUAGCUCCUGUGCAUAAAGCCUGAUAGAAUCACCUCCCUAUCCCCGACAGGUGGACAGUCAAGAAAAUGUUUGUGAAUGGACUACCAUGCUAACUUUCCAGGAAUAACACUGGACAGCAUUACACUGAAAACACGUGCUUCCUGUUCCUCAGGGAGUUCUUGGUUUUUAGUGUUAAAACUUGUGGUUAGGCACUAUUUAAGGAUAUUUUAGGGGCUGGG
Molecule: long non-coding RNA, 839 nt
Filed under: Marmota monax (woodchuck)
Lineage: Eukaryota; Metazoa; Chordata; Mammalia; Rodentia; Sciuridae
Source: RNAcentral